RNAcentral lists this transfer RNA (69 nucleotides) under Marmota monax (woodchuck). It matches the Rfam family "tRNA". Rfam says of the family: Transfer RNA (tRNA) molecules are approximately 80 nucleotides in length. Their secondary structure includes four short double-helical elements and three loops (D, anti-codon, and T loops). The record is from Rfam by way of RNAcentral. Lineage: Eukaryota; Metazoa; Chordata; Mammalia; Rodentia; Sciuridae.
GGAGUUGUGGCUCAGUGGUAGAGUGCUUGCCUAGCAUGUAUGAGGCACUGGGUUCAAUUCUCAGCACCA